AGUGAACGCUGGCGGUAGGCCUAACACAUGCAAGUCGAACGGCAACACAGUAAGAGCUUGCUCUUACGGGUGGCGAGUGGCGGACGGGUGAGGAAUACAUCGGAAUCUACUUUUUCGUGGGGGGUAACGUAGGGAAACUUACGCUAAUACCGCAUACGACCUACGGGUGAAAGCAGGGGAUCUCCGGACCUUGCGGGAUUGAAUGAGCCGAUGUCGGAUUAGCUAGUUGGCGGGGUAAAGGCCCACCAAGGCGACGAUCCGUAGCUGGUCUGAGAGGAUGAUCAGCCACACUGGAACUGAGACACGGUCCAGACUCCUACGGGAGGCAGCAGUGGGGAAUAUUGGACAAUGGGCGAAAGCCUGAUCCAGCCAUACCGCGUGGGUGAAGAAGGCCUUCGGGUUGUAAAGCCCUUUUGUUGGGAAAGAAAAGCAGCAGGUUAAUACCCCGCUGUUCUGACGGUACCCAAAGAAUAAGCACCGGCUAACUUCGUG
Molecule: ribosomal RNA, 492 nt
Filed under: uncultured bacterium
Lineage: Bacteria
Description: partial 16S ribosomal RNA
Rfam family: Bacterial small subunit ribosomal RNA
Source: RNAcentral